GUCGAGCGAACGGACGGGAAGCUUGCUUCUCUGAUGUUAGCGGCGGACGGGUGAGUAACACGUGGAUAACCUACCUAUAAGACUGGGAUAACUUCGGGAAACCGGAGCUAAUACCGGAUAAUAUUUUGAACCGCAUGGUUCAAAAGUGAAAGACGGUCUUGCUGUCACUUAUAGAUGGAUCCGCGCUGCAUUAGCUAGUUGGUAAGGUAACGGCUUACCAAGGCAACGAUGCAUAGCCGACCUGAGAGGGUGAUCGGCCACACUGGAACUGAGACACGGUCCAGACUCCUACGGGAGGCAGCAGUAGGGAAUCUUCCGCAAUGGGCGAAAGCCUGACGGAGCAACGCCGCGUGAGUGAUGAAGGUCUUCGGAUCGUAAAACUCUGUUAUUAGGGAAGAACAUAUGUGUAAGUAACUGUGCACAUCUUGACGGUACCUAAUCAGAAAGCCACGGCUAACUACGUGCCAGCAGCCGCGGUAAUACGUAGGUGGCAAGCGUUAUCCGGAAUUAUUAGGCGUAAAGCGCGCGUAGGCGGUUUUUUAAGUCUGAUGUGAAAGCCCACGGCUCAGCCGUGGAGGGUCAUUGGAAACUGGAAAACUUGAGUGCAGAAGAGGAAAGUGGAAUUCCAUGUGUAGCGGUGAAAUGCGCAGAGAUAUGGAGGAACACCAGUGGCGAAGGCGACUUUC
This 686-nucleotide ribosomal RNA is filed under the name uncultured Staphylococcus sp. RNAcentral describes it as "bacterial SSU rRNA". It matches the Rfam family "Bacterial small subunit ribosomal RNA", at positions 61 to 729 of the family's 1533-position model. Lineage: Bacteria; Bacillati; Bacillota; Bacilli; Caryophanales; Staphylococcaceae. The record is from RNAcentral.